Molecule: non-coding RNA, 427 nt
Organism: Paramuricea clavata
Lineage: Eukaryota; Metazoa; Cnidaria; Anthozoa; Malacalcyonacea; Plexauridae
Source: the annotation of a GenBank genome assembly
GUUGAUGGUGUGUCUUUAUCAUAUUCAUCUCUACCAAAUGAAGGUUUUGUAAAAAUUACAACUGACAGUGGGAUCAAGAAUGUUUGUUCGCAAAGUUUAGGAAACGCAAAGGAUGUUGUUUGUCAUCAAUUGGGUUACAAACAAGCAGACUCACUGGUUGAAAAGGCCGUUCCAUUGGAUUUAAAAGAUGAAAUAUUUUCUGGAAGUAUAGCGUGUAGUGAUGGUGAUACAAAAUUAUCCCAAUGUUCGGUUACUACUUCUCCACAAAGUCAGUGUUCGACACUCUCGUACUUAAAAUGUAGGUUUUUUACAAAAAGGAUGACGUGCAUGUGACUUAGGUUAUGGAAUUCAGAAAAGAAAGAAUGAAAGAGAUAAAAACAAUGUUCGUAAGACUUAAUUUUCAUUUUCAGGUCAUAUUUGUCAACGG